RNAcentral lists this ribosomal RNA (2196 nucleotides) under Staphylococcus aureus. RNAcentral describes it as "partial 23S ribosomal RNA". It matches the Rfam family "Bacterial large subunit ribosomal RNA", at positions 1 to 2195 of the family's 2925-position model. Lineage: Bacteria; Bacillati; Bacillota; Bacilli; Caryophanales; Staphylococcaceae. The record is from RNAcentral.
GAUUAAGUUAUUAAGGGCGCACGGUGGAUGCCUUGGCACUAGAAGCCGAUGAAGGACGUUACUAACGACGAUAUGCUUUGGGGAGCUGUAAGUAAGCUUUGAUCCAGAGAUUUCCGAAUGGGGAAACCCAGCAUGAGUUAUGUCAUGUUAUCGAUAUGUGAAUACAUAGCAUAUCAGAAGGCACACCCGGAGAACUGAAACAUCUUAGUACCCGGAGGAAGAGAAAGAAAAUUCGAUUCCCUUAGUAGCGGCGAGCGAAACGGGAAGAGCCCAAACCAACAAGCUUGCUUGUUGGGGUUGUAGGACACUCUGUACGGAGUUACAAAGGACGACAUUAGACGAAUCAUCUGGAAAGAUGAAUCAAAGAAGGUAAUAAUCCUGUAGUCGAAAAUGUUGUCUCUCUUGAGUGGAUCCUGAGUACGACGGAGCACGUGAAAUUCCGUCGGAAUCUGGGAGGACCAUCUCCUAAGGCUAAAUACUCUCUAGUGACCGAUAGUGAACCAGUACCGUGAGGGAAAGGUGAAAAGCACCCCGGAAGGGGAGUGAAAUAGAACCUGAAACCGUGUGCUUACAAGUAGUCAGAGCCCGUUAAUGGGUGAUGGCGUGCCUUUUGUAGAAUGAACCGGCGAGUUACGAUUUGAUGCAAGGUUAAGCAGUAAAUGUGGAGCCGUAGCGAAAGCGAGUCUGAAUAGGGCGUUUAGUAUUUGGUCGUAGACCCGAAACCAGGUGAUCUACCCUUGGUCAGGUUGAAGUUCAGGUAACACUGAAUGGAGGACCGAACCGACUUACGUUGAAAAGUGAGCGGAUGAACUGAGGGUAGCGGAGAAAUUCCAAUCGAACCUGGAGAUAGCUGGUUCUCUCCGAAAUAGCUUUAGGGCUAGCCUCAAGUGAUGAUUAUUGGAGGUAGAGCACUGUUUGGACGAGGGGCCCCUCUCGGGUUACCGAAUUCAGACAAACUCCGAAUGCCAAUUAAUUUAACUUGGGAGUCAGAACAUGGGUGAUAAGGUCCGUGUUCGAAAGGGAAACAGCCCAGACCACCAGCUAAGGUCCCAAAAUAUAUGUUAAGUGGAAAAGGAUGUGGCGUUGCCCAGACAACUAGGAUGUUGGCUUAGAAGCAGCCAUCAUUUAAAGAGUGCGUAAUAGCUCACUAGUCGAGUGACACUGCGCCGAAAAUGUACCGGGGCUAAACAUAUUACCGAAGCUGUGGAUUGUCCUUUGGACAAUGGUAGGAGAGCGUUCUAAGGGCGUUGAAGCAUGAUCGUAAGGACAUGUGGAGCGCUUAGAAGUGAGAAUGCCGGUGUGAGUAGCGAAAGACGGGUGAGAAUCCCGUCCACCGAUUGACUAAGGUUUCCAGAGGAAGGCUCGUCCGCUCUGGGUUAGUCGGGUCCUAAGCUGAGGCCGACAGGCGUAGGCGAUGGAUAACAGGUUGAUAUUCCUGUACCACCUAUAAUCGUUUUAAUCGAUGGGGGGACGCAGUAGGAUAGGCGAAGCGUGCGAUUGGAUUGCACGUCUAAGCAGUAAGGCUGAGUAUUAGGCAAAUCCGGUACUCGUUAAGGCUGAGCUGUGAUGGGGAGAAGACAUUGUGUCUUCGAGUCGUUGAUUUCACACUGCCGAGAAAAGCCUCUAGAUAGAAAAUAGGUGCCCGUACCGCAAACCGACACAGGUAGUCAAGAUGAGAAUUCUAAGGUGAGCGAGCGAACUCUCGUUAAGGAACUCGGCAAAAUGACCCCGUAACUUCGGGAGAAGGGGUGCUCUUUAGGGUUAACGCCCAGAAGAGCCGCAGUGAAUAGGCCCAAGCGACUGUUUAUCAAAAACACAGGUCUCUGCUAAACCGUAAGGUGAUGUAUAGGGGCUGACGCCUGCCCGGUGCUGGAAGGUUAAGAGGAGUGGUUAGCUUCUGCGAAGCUACGAAUCGAAGCCCCAGUAAACGGCGGCCGUAACUAUAACGGUCCUAAGGUAGCGAAAUUCCUUGUCGGGUAAGUUCCGACCCGCACGAAAGGCGUAACGAUUUGGGCACUGUCUCAACGAGAGACUCGGUGAAAUCAUAGUACCUGUGAAGAUGCAGGUUACCCGCGACAGGACGGAAAGACCCCGUGGAGCUUUACUGUAGCCUGAUAUUGAAAUUCGGCACAGCUUGUACAGGAUAGGUAGGAGCCUUUGAAACGUGAGCGCUAGCUUACGUGGAGGCGCUGGUGG